GGUGGGCCCGCGACCUAUCAGCUUGUCGGUGGGGUAACGGCCUACCGAGGCUCUGACGGGUAGCUGGUCUGAGAGGACGACCAGCCACACGGGGACUGAGACACGGUCCAGACUCCUACGGGAGGCAGCAGUGAGGAAUCUUGCGCAAUGGGCGAAAGCCUGACGCAGCAACGCCGCGUGGGUGAUGAAGGCCUUCGGGUCGUAAAACCCUGUCAGGUGGGAAGAAUCGGGUGGGGGCUAAUAUCCUCUGCCCCUGACUGUACCACCAGAGGAAGCCCCGGCUAACUCCGUGCCAGCAGCCGCGGUAAUACGGAGGGGGCCAGCGUUGUUCGGAAUUAUUGGGCGUAAAGGGCGCGUAGGCGGCCGAGUAAGUCUGACGUGAAAUCCCUUGGCUUAACCAAGGAACUGCGUCUUAAACUGCUCGGCUUGAGUCCGGGAGAGGGUAGUGGAAUUCCCAGUGUAGCGGUGAAAUGCGUAGAUAUUGGGAGG
This 489-nucleotide ribosomal RNA is filed under the name uncultured Pseudomonadota bacterium. RNAcentral describes it as "bacterial SSU rRNA". It matches the Rfam family "Bacterial small subunit ribosomal RNA", at positions 224 to 704 of the family's 1533-position model. The record is from RNAcentral. Lineage: Bacteria; Pseudomonadati; Pseudomonadota.